AACGAACGUUGGCGGCGUGGAUUAGGCAUGCAAGUCGUACGAGUUUCAUCUGGGUACCUGGCUGAAAAAAGUGGCGAAAGGGGCAGUAAGGCAUGGAUAAUCUACCCUGAUGACCGGGAUAGCUGUCCCAACGGGCAGGUAAUACCGGAUGAGCUGGUGGGGCCGCAUGGUUCUGCCAGGAAAGGCGCAAGCCGUGUCGGGAGGAAUCCAUGUGAUAUUAGCUAGUUGGUGAGGUAAAGGCUCACCAAGGCGAAGAUGUCUAGCGGGUGUGAGAGCACGAGCCGCGCCAUUGGCACUGAGACACUGGCCAGACUCCUACGGGGGGCUGCAGUCGAGGAUCUUCGGCAAUGGGCGAAAGCCUGACCGAGCGACGCCGCGUGAGCGAUGAAGGCCAUUAGGUUGUAAAGCUCUGUCGAGGGGGAACAAGCCGCAAGGUUGAGUGAUCCCUGGAGGAAGCACGGGCUAAGUUCGUG
RNAcentral lists this ribosomal RNA (473 nucleotides) under uncultured bacterium. RNAcentral describes it as "partial 16S ribosomal RNA". It matches the Rfam family "Bacterial small subunit ribosomal RNA", at positions 29 to 507 of the family's 1533-position model. The record is from RNAcentral.